RNAcentral lists this long non-coding RNA (214 nucleotides) under Elaeis guineensis (African oil palm). Its description in RNAcentral is "long non-coding RNA (EGUI_LNC031136)". Lineage: Eukaryota; Viridiplantae; Streptophyta; Magnoliopsida; Arecales; Arecaceae. The record is from RNAcentral.
UGGAUACCUAUACAGAUCGGAUAUAUGUUCGGCUCUGCAAGAAACCUCAAGAUUUAUCACGAUCAUCAAUCACAGUGAAUGGCUACUCAUGCAAAGGUGAAGAUGUGAUCUUCAUAUUUUUUAUUUUAUAUUUUAAUUUCAGAUCUUAAAAUCAUGAUCCCGACCUAGAUGUAUGAGAUAUGAUCUCAUACACCCGCAUGUCGGAUUGGAUCCC